This 460-nucleotide ribosomal RNA is filed under the name uncultured bacterium. Its description in RNAcentral is "partial 16S ribosomal RNA". It matches the Rfam family "Bacterial small subunit ribosomal RNA", at positions 338 to 795 of the family's 1533-position model. The record is from RNAcentral.
CCUACGGGAGGCAGCAGUGAGGAAUAUUGGUCAAUGGACGAGAGUCUGAACCAGCCAAGUAGCGUGAAGGAUGACUGCCCUACGGGUUGUAAACUUCUUUUAUAUGGGAAUAAAAUGUUCCACGUGUGGGUUUUUGUAUGUACCAUAUGAAUAAGGAUCGGCUAACUCCGUGCCAGCAGCCGCGGUAAUACGGAGGAUCCGCGCGUUAUCCGGAUUUAUUGGGUUUAAAGGGAGCGUAGAUGGAUUGUUAAGUCAGUUGUGAAAGUUUGCGGCUCAACCGUAAAAUUGCAAUUGAGACUGGCAGCCUUGAGUACAGUUGAGGUAGGCGGAAUUCGUGGUGUAGCGGUGAAAUGCUUAGAUAUCACGAAGAACUCCGAGUGCGAAGGCAGCUCACUAAACUGCAACUGACACUGAGGCUCGAAAGUGUGGGUAUCAAACAGGAUUAGAUACCCGGGUAGUC